CACCUCCUCUUUUUUCCCCCAUUCGCCAGUGGGUAGUGCGUGCAUGUGUGUACAGUGACAGUUUUGGAAUUUUGGUUUCUUAAAACUCAGAGCUGGAUAGUGGUGACACAUGCCUUUGAUCCUGGGAGGCAGAGGCAGGAGGAUCUCUUGAGUUUGAGGCCAGCCCGGUUUACAAAGUGAGUUCUAGGACAGCCAGGGCUACACAGAUAAACUGUGUCUAAACCCCAAAACCAACCAAAAACAGUGAAAGAGCUGGCUUUCAUUUUAAUCCCCAGUGUGGGGAUGUGGGGCUGCUCCCAACUGAUCACUGUGGCUGAAUGUGACUCACUUUGAGCUCAGCAGAGCUGUGGCUUUGCCAGCUACAGGCAGUUGCUUUGGUUGUGUGAACAUGAUGGUUAGGAAUUGUGGAACUUUUCAAGAGAGCGUAGAAAUGGUAGACACCACCCCACCACCACCCCACCUCCUCCAAGAGGCAUGGUGUGAGCUCAGGGGUUGGUUGUGGUAUGUUAGUCUUGCUCAAAGAAGAGAGAAAUUAGAUUCAGAGAUCCCUAUCUCUCCCCUCUAUCCUUCUUUCCUAUCUAGUGAUGGGGUAGAUAAAGGGGAGGAAAAAACCCACAAAGUCUCAAAGACUGACUGUCUAUGUGUGUUUAGAUGUAUUUUGCCCGGCAUAGUGGUUUAUUCCUGUAGCCCCAGCAUCCAGGUGGCAGAGGCAUACAGAUGUCUAUAACUUGAGUGCC
Molecule: long non-coding RNA, 737 nt
Filed under: Rattus norvegicus (Norway rat)
Lineage: Eukaryota; Metazoa; Chordata; Mammalia; Rodentia; Muridae
Description: long non-coding RNA NONRATT017589
Source: RNAcentral